RNAcentral lists this ribosomal RNA (418 nucleotides) under Adialytus thelaxis. Its description in RNAcentral is "partial 16S ribosomal RNA". The record is from RNAcentral. Lineage: Eukaryota; Metazoa; Arthropoda; Insecta; Hymenoptera; Braconidae.
UUACGCUGUUAUCCCUAAGGUAAUUUAUUUUAACAUUCUAAAUUUUAGGUUUAAGAAUUCAUUAAUUAAUGUUUUAUUAUUAUAAAAGUUUAUAAAAUUAAAAAAUUACCCCAAUUAAAUAUUAAUUAAAAUUUAUAUUAUUAAUAAUUAUAAUUUUAAUUUUAGUUAAUAUAAAAUUCUAUAGGGUCUUCUCGUCUUUUAAUAAUAUUCAAGAAGUUUAACUUAAAAUUUAAUUUUAAUUUUAAUUUUAUUUUAUAAAGUUUAUAUUCCAUUUAAUCUUUCUUUCUAGUUUUUAAUUAAAAAACUAAUUAUUAUGCUACCUUUGUACAGUUAUUGAUACUGCAGCCAUUUAAAAUUAACAGUAGGCAGAUUAGACUUAAAAUUAUUUUCAAUAAGACAUGUUUUUGUUAAACAGGCG